GACGAACGCUGGCGGCGUGCUUAACACAUGCAAGUCUAGCGGAAAGGCCCUGCUUUUGUGGGGUGCUCGAGUGGCGAACGGGUGAGUAACACGUGAGUAACCUGCCCUUGACUUUGGGAUAACUUCAGGAAACUGGGGCUAAUACCGGAUAGGAGCUCCUGCUGCAUGGUGGGGGUUGGAAAGUUUCGGCGGUUGGGGAUGGACUCGCGGCUUAUCAGCUUGUUGGUGGGGUAGUGGCUUACCAAGGCUUUGACGGGUAGCCGGCCUGAGAGGGUGACCGGCCACAUUGGGACUGAGAUACGGCCCAGACUCCUACGGGAGGCAGCAGUGGGGAAUAUUGCACAAUGGGCGGAAGCCUGAUGCAGCAACGCCGCGUGCGGGAUGACGGCCUUCGGGUUGUAAACCGCUUUCGCCUGUGACGAAGCGUGAGUGACGGUAAUGGGUAAAGAAGCACCGGCUAACUACGUG
This 468-nucleotide ribosomal RNA is filed under the name uncultured bacterium. RNAcentral's name for it is "partial 16S ribosomal RNA". It matches the Rfam family "Bacterial small subunit ribosomal RNA", at positions 28 to 507 of the family's 1533-position model. The record is from RNAcentral.